GGCGAGUGAAGCGGCAACAGCUCAAAUUUGAAAUCUGGCUCCUUCGGGGUCCGAGUUGUAAUUUGCAGAAGAUGCUUCUGGUGUGGCCCCGGUCUAAGUCCCUUGGCACAGGACGUCGUAGAGGGUGAGAACCCCGUAUGUGACCGGUGGCCUAUGCCUCUGUGAAGCUCUUUCAACGAGUCGAGUUGUUUGGGAAUGCAGCUCAAAAUGGGUGGUAUAUUCCAUCUAAAGCUAAAUAUUGGCCAGAGACCGAUAGCGCACAAGUAGAGUGAUCGAAAGAUGAAAAGCACUUUGAAAAGAGAGUUAAAUAGUACGUGAAAUUGUUAAAAGGGAAGCUCUUGCUACCAGACGCGGGCGCCGUGGAUCAUCCUAGGUUUUCCUGGGUGCACUCGGCGGUGCUCGGGUCAGCAUCGGUUUUGGUGGUGGGACAAAGGCCCUGGGAAUGUAGCUCCUCUUCGGGGGAGUGUUAUAGCCCUCGGUGCAAUGCCACCUACCGGGACCGAGGACCGCGC
Molecule: ribosomal RNA, 512 nt
Filed under: Neobulgaria sp. 6743-R2
Lineage: Eukaryota; Fungi; Ascomycota; Leotiomycetes; Helotiales; Gelatinodiscaceae
Description: eukaryotic LSU rRNA
Rfam family: Eukaryotic large subunit ribosomal RNA
Source: RNAcentral